CAGCAGCCGCGGGAAUACGUAGGGUGCGAGCGUUACUCGGAAUUACUGGGCGUAAAGCGUGCGCAGGCGGUUUGUUAAGACAGAUGUGAAAUCCCCGGGCUCAACCUGGGAACUGCAUUUGUGACUGGCAAGCUAGAGUCUGGCAGAGGGGGGUGGAAUUCCGCGUGUAGCAGUGAAAUGCGUAGAGAUCGGGAGGAACAUCAGUGGCGAAGGCGGCCAUCUGGGACAACACUAACGCUGAGGCACGAAAGCGUGGGGAGCAAACAGGAUUAGAUACCCCGGUAGUCCCUGUCUCUUAUAC
This 301-nucleotide ribosomal RNA is filed under the name uncultured bacterium. RNAcentral's name for it is "partial 16S ribosomal RNA". It matches the Rfam family "Bacterial small subunit ribosomal RNA", at positions 509 to 807 of the family's 1533-position model. The record is from RNAcentral.